RNAcentral lists this ribosomal RNA (1168 nucleotides) under uncultured Bacteroides sp. RNAcentral's name for it is "bacterial SSU rRNA". It matches the Rfam family "Bacterial small subunit ribosomal RNA", at positions 10 to 1176 of the family's 1533-position model. Lineage: Bacteria; Pseudomonadati; Bacteroidota; Bacteroidia; Bacteroidales; Bacteroidaceae. The record is from RNAcentral.
AGUUUGAUCCUGGCUCAGGAUGAACGCUAGCUACAGGCUUAACACAUGCAAGUCGAGGGGCAGCAUUGGAGUAGCAAUACUUCAGAUGGCGACCGGCGCACGGGUGAGUAACACGUAUCCAACCUGCCGCUUACUCGGGGAUAGCCUUUCGAAAGAAAGAUUAAUACCCGAUGGUAUAAAGAGUUCGCAUGUUCUCUUUAUUAAAGAAUUUCGGUAAGCGAUGGGGAUGCGUUCCAUUAGAUAGUUGGCGGGGUAACGGCCCACCAAGUCUACGAUGGAUAGGGGUUCUGAGAGGAAGGUCCCCCACAUUGGAACUGAGACACGGUCCAAACUCCUACGGGAGGCAGCAGUGAGGAAUAUUGGUCAAUGGACGAGAGUCUGAACCAGCCAGGUAGCGUGAAGGAUGACUGCCCUAUGGGUUGUAAACUUCUUUUAUAAGGGAAUAAAGUGAGGGACGUGUCCCUUUUUGUAUGUACCUUAUGAAUAAGGAUCGGCUAACUCCGUGCCAGCAGCCGCGGUAAUACGGAGGAUCCAAGCGUUAUCCGGAUUUAUUGGGUUUAAAGGGAGCGUAGGUUGACAUAUAAGUCAGCUGUGAAAGUUUACGGCUCAACCGUGAAAUUGCAGUUGAUACUGUAUGUCUUGAGUGUACAAGAGGUGGGCGGAAUUCGUGGUGUAGCGGUGAAAUGCUUAGAUAUCACGAAGAACUCCAAUUGCGAAGGCAGCUCACUGGGGUACAACUGACACUGAGGCUCGAAAGUGUGGGUAUCAAACAGGAUUAGAUACCCUGGUAGUCCACACAGUAAACGAUGAAUACUCGCUGUUUGCGAUAUACAGUAAGCGGCCAAGCGAAAGCAUUAAGUAUUCCACCUGGGGAGUACGCCGGCAACGGUGAAACUCGAAGGAAUUGACGGGGGCCCGCACAAGCGGAGGAACAUGUGGUUUAAUUCGAUGAUACGCGAGGAACCUUACCCGGGCUUGAAUUGCAGAGGAAUAUAGUUGAAAGAUUAUAGCCGCAAGGUCUCUGUGAAGGUGCUGCAUGGUUGUCGUCAGCUCGUGCCGUGAGGUGUCGGCUUAAGUGCCAUAACGAGCGCAACCCUUAUCAUUAGUUACUAACAGGUCAUGCUGAGGACUCUAGUGAGACUGCCGUCGUAAGAUGUGAGGAAGGUGG